This 404-nucleotide ribosomal RNA is filed under the name uncultured Faecalibacterium sp. RNAcentral describes it as "bacterial SSU rRNA". It matches the Rfam family "Bacterial small subunit ribosomal RNA", at positions 355 to 776 of the family's 1533-position model. The record is from RNAcentral. Lineage: Bacteria; Bacillati; Bacillota; Clostridia; Eubacteriales; Oscillospiraceae.
UGGGGAAUAUUGCACAAUGGGGGAAACCCUGAUGCAGCGACGCCGCGUGGAGGAAGAAGGUCUUCGGAUUGUAAACUCCUGUUGUUGAGGAAAAAGAGGAUGGUACUCAACAAGGAAGUGACGGCUAACUACGUGCCAGCAGCCGCGGUAAAACGUAGGUCACAAGCGUUGUCCGGAAUUACUGGGUGUAAAGGGAGCGCAGGCGGGUAUGCAAGUUGGGAGUGAAAUACAUGGGCUCAACCCAUGAACUGCUCUCAAAACUGUGUAUCUUGAGUAGUGCAGAGGUAGGCGGAAUUCCCGGUGUAGCGGUGGAAUGCGUAGAUAUCGGGAGGAACACCAGUGGCGAAGGCGGCCUACUGGGCACCAACUGACGCUGAGGCUCGAAAGUGUGGGUAGCAAACAGG